Molecule: long non-coding RNA, 1678 nt
Filed under: Homo sapiens (human)
Lineage: Eukaryota; Metazoa; Chordata; Mammalia; Primates; Hominidae
Description: HSALNT0275321
Source: RNAcentral
CCCAGGUUCACACAGCCACCUGCAUCCCUCAGAAGCUCCACUUCUCUCUCUGAUCAGACUGCACAAAUGUCCAGUGUCUGAACCGCAUGGAAGGGCAGGACAGGACUGCAUCUCCCAACGAGCCGAGCCGCCCACAGGACACAGACACAGACACGGCCUCCACAGCCACACCAGGUCCCACCUCAGCCCAGCACAGGCCUUUCCCACAGUCAGUGACCCCAAGGAAAGACGUCGGAUCAGGGAACCAGAUCUCCCCCUUACCUACUUUUAUUUAUUUUAUUUGUUUGAGACGGAGUCUUAUUGUUGCCUAGGCUGGAGUGCAGUGGUGCAAUCUCAGCUCACUGCAACCUCCACCUCCCAAGUUCAAGCAGUUAUCCUGCCUCAGCCUCCCAAGUAGCUGGGAUUACAGGCACCUGCCGCCACGUCCAGCUAACUUUUAUAUUUUUAGUAGAGAUGGGGUUUCAAAGGGGCUGGACACGGUGGCUCAUGCCUACAAUCCCAGAACUUUGGGAGGCUGAGGCAGGCGGAUCAUUUGAGCCCAGGAGUUUGAGAUCAGCCUGCCCAACAUGGUGAAGCCCCGUCUCUACUGAAAAUACAAAAAUUAGCCAGGCAUGGUGGCGCAUGCCUGUAAUCCCAGCUAUUUGGGAGGCUGAGGCAGGAGGAUUGCUUGAGCCCAGGAGGUGGAGUUUGCAGUGAGCUGAGACUACGCCAUUGCACUCCAGCCUGGGCAACCAGAACGAAACUCCGUCUCAAAAAAAAAAAAGAAGAAGAAAAGAAAGAAAGAAAAGAAAUAAGGAGCAAUGGCCAGGUGCAGUGGCUCACACCUAUAAUCCCAGUGCUUUGGAGGGCAAAAGCGGGAGGAUCACUUGAGCUCAGGAGUUUGUGACCAGCCUGGGCAACAUAGUGAGACCCCCAUCUCUAACAACAACAACAACAUCAAAAAAGCCAGGUGUGGUGGCACACACCUGUAGUCCUAGCUGUUCGGGAGACUGAGGAGGAAGGUUUGCUUGAGACUGGGAGGUUGAGGCUGCAGUGAGCCUUGAUCACGAUGCCACUGCACUCCAGCCUGGGUGACAGAGCAAGAUCCUGUCUCUUGAAAUGAGCAGGAAUGUGCUGUUUUACUAGUUAAGAGUAAUAAAUCCUGGUUGGGUGUGGUGGCUCACGCCUGUAAUCCCAGCACUUUGAGAGGCCAAGGCAAGAGGAUCACUUGAGCUCAGGAGUUCGAGACCAGCCUGAGCAACAUGGCAAAAUCCCAUCUCCACAAAAAACUUAAAAAUUAGCCGGGCAUGGUGGUGCGUGCCUGUGUUCCCAGCUACAUGGGAGGUUGAGGUAAGAGGAUCACUUGAGCCUAGGAGGUCAAGGCUGCCGUGAGCCAUGAUCAUACCACUGCACUCCAGGCUGGGGGGCAGAGGGAGACCCUGUCUCAAAAAAAAAAAAAAAAAAAUUAAGAGUAACAACACACCCUGAACCUGUGCCCAGCACACUGAAACCCAGUGAAAGGGGCUGAGAGAGGAUGGAGAGGGGGAGACGAAAAGGACCGAUACCCAGAAUGGGUCAAAACAGACGAGAAGGCAUGGGAAAGGCCAGCACGCUCUUUAUAAGAGUAGAACUCAGCCACCCCAUUACUGGGUAUAUACCCAAAGGAUUAUAAAUCAUGCUGCUAUAAAGACACAUGCAC